GGGGGUAUAGCUCAGUGGUAGAGCACCCGCAUACGUAUCGGAAGGUCGGGGGUUCGACUUCCUCUGCCUCCA
Molecule: transfer RNA, 72 nt
Filed under: Pristionchus pacificus
Lineage: Eukaryota; Metazoa; Nematoda; Chromadorea; Rhabditida; Neodiplogasteridae
Rfam family: tRNA
About the family: Transfer RNA (tRNA) molecules are approximately 80 nucleotides in length. Their secondary structure includes four short double-helical elements and three loops (D, anti-codon, and T loops). Further hydrogen bonds mediate the characteristic L-shaped molecular structure. tRNAs have two regions of fundamental functional importance: the anti-codon, which is responsible for specific mRNA codon recognition, and the 3' end, to which the tRNAs corresponding amino acid is attached (by aminoacyl-tRNA synthetases). tRNAs cope with the degeneracy of the genetic code in two manners: having more than one tRNA (with a specific anti-codon) for a particular amino acid; and 'wobble' base-pairing, i.e. permitting non-standard base-pairing at the 3rd anti-codon position.
Source: Rfam by way of RNAcentral